Molecule: long non-coding RNA, 469 nt
Filed under: Gossypium barbadense (sea-island cotton)
Lineage: Eukaryota; Viridiplantae; Streptophyta; Magnoliopsida; Malvales; Malvaceae
Description: long non-coding RNA (GBAR_LNC002355)
Source: RNAcentral
UAACCCAUCCUUAAACCCAAAACCUAAAAUUAACCUAGCUCAACAUCCAAGCCCAAUCCCAAAACCUUAAACUCCCACUUGCCUCUUCCCACUCUCCCAUGCUGUCUGCCACCAGCACCACUCCCACUCUUCCAUGUUGUCUGCCACCAGCACCAUCACACACCCCACCGUCCAUGCCCAUGCCCUGCAAACAAGCAAAACAGAAGCAAGAAUAGAAAAUAAUAAUAAAGUAUGUAAAAAUUAGGCCAUAUAAAAGCCACCCAAACAACAAACGAAAAGGGGGGGAGGAUGUACAAAAAGUUUGUAUCAAAAACAAAAGAAAAAAGAAAAGCUUAGAAGGUGAACUUCAAUUUUUUUCCUCUGUUAUCUCAAUCUUUCUGUUUAUCUUUGCUUUGUUUUUUUUUAUUAACUUACUUUAAAACGAAAAAGAAUCAAGGAAGAAAAGAGUCUUACCGGAUCUACCCCGUGG